UGGGGAAUAUUGGACAAUGGGCGAAAGCCUGAUCCAGCCAUGCCGCGUGUGUGAAGAAGGUCUUCGGAUUGUAAAGCACUUUAAGUUGGGAGGAAGGGCAGUAAGCGAAUACCUUGCUGUUUUGACGUUACCGACAGAAUAAGCACCGGCUAACUCUGUGCCAGCAGCCGCGGUAAUACAGAGGGUGCAAGCGUUAAUCGGAAUUACUGGGCGUAAAGCGCGCGUAGGUGGUUCGUUAAGUUGAAUGUGAAAGCCCCGGGCUCAACCUGGGAACUGCAUCCAAAACUGGCGAGCUAGAGUAGGGCAGAGGGUGGUGGAAUUCCCUGUGUAGCGGUGAAAUGCGUAGAUAUAGGAAGGCACACCAGUGGCGAAGGCGACCACCUGUGCUCAUACUGACACUGAGGUGCGAAAGCGUGGGGAGCAAACAGG
Molecule: ribosomal RNA, 429 nt
Filed under: Pseudomonadota bacterium
Lineage: Bacteria; Pseudomonadati; Pseudomonadota
Description: Proteobacteria bacterium partial 16S ribosomal RNA
Rfam family: Bacterial small subunit ribosomal RNA
Source: RNAcentral